Molecule: long non-coding RNA, 421 nt
Filed under: Strongylocentrotus purpuratus (purple sea urchin)
Lineage: Eukaryota; Metazoa; Echinodermata; Echinoidea; Camarodonta; Strongylocentrotidae
Description: uncharacterized LOC105440940, transcript variant X1
Source: RNAcentral
CCUCGUUUUUUGUUCAUGAAACAUUUUGAUCUGAAAUUUCUAUCUAACAGAUUCAUUUCUGAAAGCUUAAAUCAACUGAAAUAUUUAAUUGACUCAUCAAUAAGCUGUUCGUAUUGUAGGGGAAUGCUCCGCAGUUUUGCUUUGAAUGUGAUCCACUAUACCAGGCAACACGUCCUGUAUAACAUAGACACCAUGGCUGGAAGAGAUGAUACAUGGCAUGUAACAAGAUUGAAGAUGCUCUUUCUUCAAAGACUUGUGCUGAACAAGAUACCUUGACCUGGAAGAGACGAUGUACCGUGUACAUGGCAUGCAACAAGAUACCAUAGAAGAAAGACUUGAAGAAUACCAAUGAAGAAAGACUUGAAGAAUAUUGCACAAGAUACCAUGGCAGAGAUACUUGCAGGUCAUUGAACGAGGUAAG